GUCAAUGUGUGUGUGUGUGUUGCAUCACUAUCCCUUCCCCCGUUGCACGGAAGUGGUGAAAUUCAUAUGUGCAAUUUUGUGUUCUGGGGAAAAUACAAUAUUUCAGGAGUCAAAACACAUGAGCUCUGUGCAGAAACAGGGUUUGAUUUAACACACCAUUGUUGGAGUAAAGUAAACGGGUGUAUUGCUGUUAUCUGGAAAAGGAGACAUGACAUCCAACAUGAAUGUGUCUGGAAAACAGGACAAGAACCACAAAAGACAAAGUCAAGCAUCAGCAGAAACCAGUUGGACUCCAUAUUCAAGGAGCUGGAAGACAAAGUCAUCACUUUGAUGAAAAAUGAGCUAAAGAGGUUUAGGAAGCUCCUAAGUCCAGAUUACCCAGCAUGCACUGACAGGGAUGUGGAUGAUGAGGAUCUGCACAGUAUCAGAGAGGGAAUGCUGAAGAUCACACUGCAUGUCCUGAAGAUCAUGAACCACACAGAUCCGCUAACACACUGCACAACAGCUGUGGGAGUGUAAUCUGAGGGAGGAAAGCUGUAGAGUUCUGUCUUCAGUUCUCAGCUCAAACUCCUCCAGUCUGAGAGGACUGAACCUGAGUUACAAUAAUCUGCAGGAUUCAGGAGUGAAACUGCUCUCUGCUGGACUGAAGAAUCCACUAUGUACACUGCAGAUACUGUGGCUGUGUGGGUGUAAUCUGACAGAGGAAAGCUGUAGAAUUCUGUCUUCAGUUCUCAGCUCAAACUCCUCCAGUCUGAAAGAAUUGGACAUGGGAUGAAAUAAACUGCAUGAUUCAGAAGUAAAGCUGCUCUCUGCUGCACUGGAGAGUCCACAUUGUACACUGGAGAUACUCAGGAUGUGUAACUGCAGUAUUGCAGAUGAAGGUUGUGCUGCACUGGCAUCAGCUCUGAGGUCAAACUCCUCAUCAAAACUCUGUGUCAAGAAGAUCAAGAAGGAUGUACACUGUAAACUGGAGACACUACUGUAAGUUACUGAUUUACUGUCUCUUUACUCUACUGUACUGAAUAAUUCAGUGUACUUAUAAUAAUAGGUAUACUUAUUAUUUUAUUGUGUGUGUGUUUUGUCUUCAUGAUGGCUGAUGUUUGUUUACACUGAUGCUCUUCUUUGUCCUUCAGAAUUAAGGAUUAUAAACUUAGCAGGACGGGCAUAUGACAGGAGUCUCACAUCAAAUCUCUUUUUCAGGACAAAGCAGCUUUGGUGGAGUGUUAGAAAUCUAUAGAAAUCUUUUUAUUUAGUCCACAACUUACUCUAGGGUUUUAUAACAAAUCCUACUGCACCUACACACAACAGAGAUAUCUUUACAGUGAUUACACAAAUACACAGCCACGUAGCUGUAUAUAGCUUAUAUUUAGCUUUAUGUUUAUCAAAAUUUGUUUCUUCAUAGAUGAUUGAUUCACAGUUGUGAUAUUAAUUUUAAUAUAUAUAUAUAUAAUAUUAAUAGUUUUAUAUAUAAUAGUUUUUGAUGAACCAUAACUUGAAAUUUUCUGGUGAAAAUGCAGAAUGGCUCCAGCAAAGGUCCCCUUUUUCAGUACAAAAACAUACACAUUAUCUCAUUAUCUGAUCUUGGGUCCAAAAUAUAAGCCCACAUCCCUGAGCAUCACUUUUUGUAUAUAUGACUACAAUGAACACUUGCAGCUAAACAAUGUGCAACCACCUGAAAUGUUAUGAUUUCAGAUUGUUUUCACGACAGAGAGUCCCAUGAAGAAGAGUAGCAUGAAAAAGAAUUGCCUUAAUUCCUGCUAAUAACCAUUCUAAUGAUGUUAAGAGAUUAAUAAUGUUCUUCUCUGGCGAACAGUUCACAAUAUGCCAGGAACUGUUUUGUAGUCUUACACCAUCUAAUUAUAAUUAACAUGUAUAUAAGUGUAAGUAAGUUUAUGUGAUAAAACACACAAAAGAGCUAAGAUAUUUCAUGUAUCACUGCAUAAAAGUUUGAUUAAGAGUUUUAGAUUUUUUAAACCUGUAACUGAAAACCUUUAAAUACUAGUAUAUACAAUGAUUUACUUGCAUACCCAUGUCAAUAUGUUAAUCUUUUUUUCCUAUUAACUAUUUUUUUAUUAUCUUUAGUAGACCGAAUAUGAUGUACAUCUACAACUAAUAUGGAGUUUGUGAGUCUGGUCAGACAGACUGGCCUGUCCUCCUGUUUAUAUGCUGCCAUUUUGCAACGCUUAAGCAAUAGUAUAUACUUCCUCUAUUUGUGUGAGACUUCCAGUUUGAUUCAUAAGCACCUGCUUGUAAAUGUAUUAAAGAAACUUCUGAGAAUUAGCGCUGUUGUUUGUUAUGAUAAUGAAAUUAUUAUUAUUAUUAAUAUUAUUAUUAUUAUUAUUAUUAUUAUUAUUAUUAUUAUUAUUAUUAACAGUUUUUUUCUGUUAUGGAGACUGGUGACUCUUGAGGGCCCUGAGUAUGGCAAUUAACCCUCUCUGCUCCAGAGGCAGAGUAUUAUUGCUGACCCUAAGCUUCGACCCCUGCUUCCUAACCAGCUGGGAUAUGUGGAUUUCACUGUACAGUAAUGUAAAAAAAAAAAAAAAAAAGCUCCUUCAUCUCCUCUUCAUUUAUGUGUUGAUAUCCAUAUUACCCAAAUGCUUCCACCCUUCCACUGGUCUUCUCUCUUGUAGGCAAAUCCAGUUAGCUAAAGAAAGUGGUUUUAUCCUACCCUCUCUUUUCUUUGUGUAAAUCUAUACUCACUACUGUGAACAAUUAACAAUCAAAUCAUGCGGCUGACAAUGGCUUAGUGCAAUUUUAUAUGUAAGUAGUAACACAGUCCAGACUGUGUGGUUGCAUUUGCUAUUCUGACCAUUUGCUGCAGCUCAUGUUUUGUUUUGAUUGUCACGAUUAACAAAACCUUGUAUAACUGUACUCAUCCUACCUGCCUACCUGACAAAGGAUUUGUAAAUAUAAUGCAUUUACAUCGCUGCAAUAUAUAUGUCACUUUUACUACAAAAAAACCAAACCAACAAUCCUGAACUAAUAAAUACUAGAAAUUAAAAUGUCUGAAUGAAAAAUUAAAUAGUAUUCAGGAGAAAAUGCUCACUUUCAAAAGACGUAUUUUUUUAGUGUCUGUGUUGAUGUGUGUCUGUCUUAGCAGAUCUGUGAGCAUGGCCAUGUCUCUACAGAGGGCUGUGAGGUGGCCAGUAUUAGGCACCUUUUGGCUUCACCAUCUCGAACAGAAGGUUUUAAUCAUCUUGUGAUAAUAUUUUUUUUCAAUAUCUUUGUCAGUGAAACAUUUUACCAUAGGAUUUUUUUCUGACAUCAGAUAACACACCAAUACACAAUCACAAGAUGGAGGCUGAGACAGAUGUAAAUGCAUUUAGGGCAGUUUUAUUAAAAAGCUAUCAAACAGUCUAAUACACUAGGCAAACUCAUAAUCACUGGAAUAGGCACAGAUCAGGUGAUUGGCAAACAGGAUAAACAGGGCUAAAUAUAGACAAAAAUACAGACAAAACUGGGAAAGUUUUAGUAUGAUAGCAACUUCAUUCAGCCAAUCAUUCACAUGCUGGCUUAAUCUGUAUCAUGAUGCGUGUUAAUAUCUACUUAAGUUGAGCUUUUCUCAUCAAGUCCUGUUGGUGUUCAUUAAAAAAAAAAAAGCAAUACUGUCUCUGCUGCCAUGGCACAUUAAAAAUAAACCAGCUGAGCAUGUAAAUGUGCAAGUCAUAAGCAAAGUAAUAAUAGCCAAAAUAACUUAUAAUAUUAUUUUAAGUCACAUGACACUGUAAUUGCUCACGGUAAAUUGUCAACAGUUUUUGGAGCUGCAAUCCCAGAUGAGUGAGGCAGCCCAGGCAACAGAUAAAAACAAAAUAUAAAAAUAUUAUAAAAGGUGGCAAGUAAUGGUCAUGGGCUACUUGUUUAAAAGCUGAUGUCCUUAUACUCUUUUUUGAUUGCCGUAUUUAAGACAAAGUGCCCCAUUCAUAUUUCUUACAAUUAAUAAGAGAAAGAAUAAAAUAAAAAAGUUGUGUGAACAUCAAUAAGCUUUGUUUUCCAUCUUUAUUUAAGAGUGCUACUGCCUGGCAGCACUACAUAUGAGGUGAAUAUUAUGUGAGCACAAGUGAUUUCAGUAUAUUCAAUUUUAGCCAACUUUGAACAUAAUCCAGAUUCUUCAAAUAGAUUCGGACAGAGAUGUACUCUGAGUGAAUGCUCUCUGUUUGUAAUCUCAGUCUGGAAGUAAACUCUUUCAUAUUAAAUUGCCAGAAUGGUCUCCA
Long non-coding RNA from Hemibagrus wyckioides, 4211 nucleotides. RefSeq lists it as uncharacterized. Lineage: Eukaryota; Metazoa; Chordata; Actinopteri; Siluriformes; Bagridae. The record is from RefSeq and is a predicted model, not a curated record. The transcript has 7 exons.